Molecule: ribosomal RNA, 206 nt
Filed under: uncultured Gardnerella sp.
Lineage: Bacteria; Bacillati; Actinomycetota; Actinomycetes; Bifidobacteriales; Bifidobacteriaceae
Description: partial 16S ribosomal RNA
Rfam family: Bacterial small subunit ribosomal RNA
Source: RNAcentral
UUGUAAGUAGGGUGGUAAUGCUGGAUGCUCCAACUUGACGCAUGUCUUGUUGGGAAAGUGUUUAGUGGCAUGGGAUGGGGUCGCGUCCUAUCAGCUUGUAGGCGGGGUAAUGGCCCACCUAGGCUUCGACGGGUAGCCGGCCUGAGAGGGCGGACGGCCACAUUGGGACUGAGAUACGGCCCAGACUCCUACGGGAGGCAGCAGUU